Molecule: ribosomal RNA, 759 nt
Filed under: Salmonella enterica
Lineage: Bacteria; Pseudomonadati; Pseudomonadota; Gammaproteobacteria; Enterobacterales; Enterobacteriaceae
Description: partial 23S ribosomal RNA
Rfam family: Bacterial large subunit ribosomal RNA
Source: RNAcentral
UAACGUCCGUCGUGAAGAGGGAAACAACCCAGACCGCCAGCUAAGGUCCCAAAGUCAUGGUUAAGUGGGAAACGAUGUGGGAAGGCCCAGACAGCCAGGAUGUUGGCUUAGAAGCAGCCAUCAUUUAAAGAAAGCGUAAUAGCUCACUGGUCGAGUCGGCCUGCGCGGAAGAUGUAACGGGGCUAAACCAUGCACCGAAGCUGCGGCAGCGACGCUGAUGCGUUGUUGGGUAGGGGAGCGUUCUGUAAGCCUGUGAAGGUGGCCUGUGAGGGUUGCUGGAGGUAUCAGAAGUGCGAAUGCUGACAUAAGUAACGAUAAAGCGGGUGAAAAGCCCGCUCGCCGGAAGACCAAGGGUUCCUGUCCAACGUUAAUCGGGGCAGGGUGAGUCGACCCCUAAGGCGAGGCCGAAAGGCGUAGUCGAUGGGAAACGGGUUAAUAUUCCCGUACUUGGUGUUACUGCGAAGGGGGGACGGAGAAGGCUAUGUUGGCCGGGCGACGGUUGUCCCGGUUUAAGCGUGUAGGUGUGUGUUCCAGGUAAAUCCGGUUCACUUUAACACUGAGGCGUGAUGACGAGGCACUACGGUGCUGAAGCAACAAAUGCCCUGCUUCCAGGAAAAGCCUCUAAGCAUCAGGUAACAUCAAAUCGUACCCCAAACCGACACAGGUGGUCAGGUAGAGAAUACCAAGGCGCUUGAGAGAACUCGGGUGAAGGAACUAGGCAAAAUGGUGCCGUAACUUCGGGAGAAGGCACGCUGACAC